This is a long non-coding RNA of Cavia porcellus (domestic guinea pig), 28149 nucleotides long. RefSeq lists it as uncharacterized. The record is from RefSeq and is a predicted model, not a curated record. NCBI's taxonomy places the organism in Eukaryota, Metazoa, Chordata, Mammalia, Rodentia, Caviidae. The transcript has 5 exons.
AAAACAGAGUUCAAAAUUCAAGGUGUGAAAGGGCGAUCAGUGCGGUCCCUGCCCGGGCACCCUCUAGGUAAGGAGGGGUCACCCAGCCCUAGCCCACUUCCUCAGCCCUGGGCCUUCAACCCAGGCCCACUACUCCGCCCUUUGUUCCCUUCCUUACUCCCCUCCUGGUCCCUGAAUCCCCUCCGCCUGGGCUAGGCCCAGCCUACUGUCACUUUGUGUUCCUGGACUUUGACCCUGUCUUCACCGGGAGAGAACCUGGCUCCUGGCAUCAGAAGAGGUGACUUGGCCAUGGUCCCCUAAUGCUAGCAGCUCUUCUGGAGACCAAUUGUGUGACAGAGGUUAGGAUGGGGAGCACUGAAGUAGGGACAGCCUGCCUGUGUAUCCCAGAGUGGAUGCCCCCAGAGCCACAGCUGUCACCCCAGGAGCAGGGCUGUGCCCUGGAGCUCCUCCUGCAAAGGUCCCCGGCUCAUCCUUGAGGAGGCUGCCAAAGGUGUCCCUGUUCACGCCCAGCAGUUUCCCUGUGACUCUAGCUGUCCUCCUCCAGCUGCAAUCACCUGUCCUCGUCUCCGGCCCACAGUACACACAUCUGCACCUGCAAAGAGGCCCUGGGAAGACAAAUAAAUCAAAGUUCCCCAAAGAGCUGAUGCUGGGACUCCAUCUUUGCUUGUGGCUUCCUGAACCGGGCUGGAGUGAGGGAUUCAGCUGUCCCCAGACCCAGGUUCUGCUGGCACUCCGGGCCCUGAAAGCCAGCUCUCCAACUUUUGAGUUUCCCCCAAGUGCAGCAAAGGUGCUUGGGCCUGGGAGAAGUGCACCGUGCCACCUCAUCUCUCACAGCCUGAGUCAAGGCCACAGUCCCCAGAAAGAGGAACAGACCCAAGCGGAACCCGGAACAGCUGUCCUCGCCAUCCCUGAAUCCUAGAGCGGGGAGAACAGCAUCGCCCUUUUGCAGGCUCCCCCGUGAGAGGAUUCUCGGGCAGCGGGGCGGCGAAGUGUUCGAACAGGAGCAGGAGGCAUGGUCCCUUGAGUGGGAAGUUGCUCUCAUCACCCAUUCCCUUCCCGGUCCUUACCGCUUGUCUUAGGAGUCUGCAUUUUUCCAGUGAGAAAUGGAACCCAUUUCCCUGACUAUUGAAUCAUGACUGUCACUGACGUGCUCUGAAUUUGAAAGGCACCAGAACGGAUGUUGUGACUCAACUGAGACUGAUCCCAUGAGGCCUUGCAGCUGCUGAGCUCGUCACGUGGCCUGCUGCCGCCACUAUGAACAGACACUCCCAGUGGCCUUCUUGAGGUUUAGGGGACCCGUGACAAGGAGGCAGCCAGUGUGGAUGACUGCAGGCCUGGUGAGCCUGGGGAGACUGGCAGGCCUGCCCAGCUGAGCCCAGCUCAAGUUGCUGACCCCUGCAGCAGGAGCAGUACAGUGGCUGUUACUGACCAUGAACUUUGGAGGAUUUGGAGGAGCUGAUUUCACGUUUAGCUUUAAGUAUCAACCACAACCUGACAGUCUCCCACUGUGCUUACCCCAGGAAUUGGUUCCUGUAUGGGCCUGAGGGCCUCAGGUGGCCAGUGAACAAACUUGCUUCUCACCUGGGGAAUUGGGCUCCUCCCAGGGGCAUCUGGCGUGUCUGAAAAUGUUUUUGGUUGUCCUGACCCUCCUGGUGGCAGGAGGUCUUGUAACCAACAACCAGUUAAACUCUGAACUGGGGUGGGGGGAUGAGCCGCUGGCAUUUAGGUAGAAAGAAGCCAGGGAUGUUCCUAAACAUCUCUGAUCAGAGUGUAGCCCCACAGCAAAGAAUUCUCCGGCCCCAAAUGUCUGCAGUGCCAGCACUGAGAAACUCACGACUGGGUGGUGGGAAAGAACACUUUGGAAGCGGCUAACAAUGUCCAGCAUCCCUGGCUUUUAAGUCAGUUUCUUUGAUUCAUUUCACCUCUACAUUCUGGUCCUGUGUGUUAAGUGAUUAUUCUUUAAAUAAAUGCAUAUAUGCAUUUAACUUGUAGGGUUUUGGUUUUCAUUUUUUCUUGAGAUCAAGUCUCACUGUGUAGUCGAGGCUGGCCUUGAAUUUACAAUCCUCCCGCCUCAGCUCUGGGGUACUAGGAUUAUAGACAGGUACCGUCACAUCCAUCUGCUUCUGCUCCUUCUUCCCCUUCUCCUCCUCCUCUUCCUGCUCCCCUUUCAGUCUUUCAGGUAACACCCUCAGCGAUCUGUCUCCUCCAAUCAGGCCCCACCUUUCAAGCUAUGAACUCAUUAAAGAAUUCAUUCCACCGAUGAGUGUAGCCCCGUCAUGACCCAAUCUGACAGCACCGUCCCUGAACACAUGAAACUUUUGGAGACAUUUCAGAUCUAAGCUGCAACACCAUGUAACAUCCAGCAUUGCCUGGGCACUGACAUCUGACUGGCAGAAAGAGGAUCAGAGAGAGUAGUGGUUCUUUCUUUUCUUUUUUUUUUUUUUUUUUAAGAUGACAAACUGAGCUAUUUAUUUGCUACAUUAAACCAUAUGAACUAGAAUUGUGAUCAUAUAACAAAAUCUAAAACAAACUAGAAAAUUAUAUGUAGUAUACAAGUCCUUAAUAAGUCAAUUUUGCUCUUCAGGGUUAAAUUUUUUUUUUUUUUUAAGUAUCACAAUAUAUUUUGUUAUCUUUAUAAUAGUUGUUCUUUGAGUCACAUAUAUCAAAAUGAGAUGAAAUAUAGAACACUACAGAACUUAUCAAAACAGAAUAUUGAAUAGAGCAGUACCAUUAAUUAAAAAAGAACAAAACAGAAAUAAAAAUAUUUGCCUUCAAAGAAAUGGUAGAAGGAAGUCCUCCUUAUUUGCUAUGGUCAACCUGCCAGGAGAUGCUCAGAUUUCUGGUUCCCAUUUGCUAAUGGGCGGCGGCUGGGGGAGGGGAGAAGGAGGAUAGGGGAAGUGGGAUAUUUGACUCUAGCCCAUGUAGCAGUAGGUUCACUACUGCUAAGCAGGGAGGCAGGAUGGUCAUUUGUUUUCACAGUGUCCUCAGUUCCAACAUGGUGUGGAUCUCAGGAGACACUGCUGGGUCUCCCCCUGGAAGGGCUGCAGUCUGCCAGCCUGCCUCCGCUUACCAGGGAGGGGAGGUGCUGGCUUGGCUUCCCAGAGUCCUAAGUUCCAACAUGGCGUGGAUCUCAGGAGACACUGCUCGAGAGUAGUGGUUCUUAUAAGCCAGGCCUUGCCCCAGUGACAUUUGCCAUCCUGUUCACAUUCUGGAGGCUGGAGCCCAGUCACAUGGUCUCAUCUAACUUCAUAGGAACCUGGGAGAAAUCCUAGCAUGUGCUGGAGAGAAAGAAAUAGGAUCGGUAACAAUUUGGCAGCUUUUGCCAGAAAGUCCUGUUCUGGUUUGCCUAUUAAUUCUCCCAGGUACCAUUCUUUCCUCCCUGGUUUCUCUUGGUUGGUUUUGGCUUUUCUCCAGUUUAGAAAUCCUCGUGCAAAAUCAUCUCUGCAGUGGACCUUCUUGGUUAUUCUGUGCGAUCUCUUGUGGAGCAUGCUUAGGGAAAGAGACAAGCAUUGUGCUCCAUGCUAGUUACAGAGGGUGUGGGGAGAGCCAAGGCACGCUACUGGACAGGGCACCUUAGUAGCUGGUCUUCUGGGCAUGGCACUCCCGAGUCCCCCUGGGUGAUCCUAGUCACCAAGUGCUGCCUUUCUGUCUACUCUAAACUCCCACAUUCUUUGCUCCUUCCUGCCUGGAGUAGACCACCCACCCAUCACACUUACCUGGUCCCUCCUAUGUCUCCAGUCCCCUUGGGUUUCUCCCAGUCUCGCUGGGAGGCUUCUGCUGUUGGACCCACUAUGUGUCCCAGGUUCAGGCUGCCUUCUCUAGUCUCAUCUCCCUGCCUUUUACUUGUCCCUUGCAGGUUCAGCUCCUCAGCUGCUAGUGAGAGUCUCUCUUCUUGUAUAUUUAUGAUUCAGUUUAUGUUUGCAUCUCUCAUUUAUUGGAUUUGGUGUUUAGCAUUUUGAAAGACUGCCGGCCCGUUUCCUCAAGAGACUCCUGCUCCAUUUUGCACUCCCAGCAGCUGUGUGGGAGGUUUCUGACUGCUCCACGUUCUUGAAUCGUUUGUGGUUGUCCGUCUUUUGGGCCCCAGCACCCUUAGACUCUCCAUGGCGCAUCACUUGGGGUACUCAGUGGAAACUCUUGCAGGUGUGAACCUGCUAUUCACCGUUAUGCUCCACCACCAGACCUCUCUUCCAGGAACCAGAGCUGUCUCUUCCUGGGCUCCCUUUGCUGCCUGGUGCAAAGUCUGAGAAUAACCAGUACAAAAGUGUAGCAUCCUCUGCGGCUACCGCAUACUGAGUGACCACUCCACAGCAGACCUGUGGGAAGCACCACAGCGCUCUUAUUCAGUCUCCAUAAACUGAAACUGGGGCUCCGAGUAUUAACUGGAACCGAGUUAGACAGCUGGGUAAACGGAGGCAGCAGGAUGUAAAGGAACGUGUGCCCACCUGCUCCCGGCUUCUUCCGUGGCUACGGUUGACUUCAAUGAGUAUUGAGGGGGGUGGGGGCUUGGUUUUAAAGUUAGUACAUCAAGGGGCUGGGGAUUUAGCUCAGCGGCAUAAGCGCCUGCCUUGCAAGCAGGCAGUCGUGAGUUCGAUCCCCGGUACUGAUAAAAAGGAAAAAGACCAAAAUAAAUAAAUAAAGUUAGUACAUCAAAAGUUGCAUAUCAAAUUAGAAAUCUCUUCAUGUCAAGUAUAAAUGAGAAUGUGCGGUAACUCUUUGACACUUAGCCACUGAGCCAGAGACAAAUGAAGGAAAUAGCAAUUAGGAAGUCCAUAUCGCAGAAGUGUGGCCUUUUGGCCUAUUUGCUCUUUCGAUAAUGCUCCCAUUUCUGGGUGAGUAGAAUAGAGGAUGGGUGGCAUAUUCCAAAAAGGUUUCUAUUUGUCUGCGAGGUCACCAGCUUCUGCACGGCACUAGGCCCUUUGUUAUCAUCUUUUACCUCCACGCUCACACUCUGCACUCCAGGCUCUGCAGGCUCCACCUGCGCUUUGCCAGCUGGUUCUGUGCAAGGCGCUGCCCGGAGGAGGCAAGGCAGGGAGACUGCACGGGUGGAGGAGGAGGCAGGACUUGGUUCCUAUCUGUCGCUUCCUACCCACCCCUCUGCCUGUGGCUCCUGGCUUGCACGCCAGUUCUUUCCUACCACAGUUUCUAAAUGCAGUGUUCAGCUUUUCCCAGCACAAGGCAUAAUUAGCUUUUACGUGACCCCAUUAGAGACAGCAGUUCAGGUACUGGUACUUUCCAGGAAGGUCAGAGCCUCUACAAGCUCACAUUCUGGAACCAUCUUUCUCCAAGUUGUAGCUUGCAGAGUGAUUCAACCUUUUCUUACUACAGGGAGCUGCUUCUUGCAGUUACUACACUUAUGUGACACCUCGGAUUUCUUUUUUUGAUCUGUCAAUUACCUAACAACUUUAAACCUAAGCAACUAUUUUCUGUGUUGUAAUCUCUCUGUUAAGUAACCAACAUGCUUUCUAUCUCCUGACUAUUAAAUCUUUCUAAACUUUACUUGCUAUAUCCACAGAUUUGUUUAUGGCUGGGAUUUGUAUCUCCGAGGAUAGGAUCUAAGAUCAGGAAAGACAUCGGAUAAUAAAGCUGCUUGGCCCUGUAAUGCACUGCCUCCUUAGUGUGGAACCCCCUAUUCCUGCUGCAUAGAGCAGCUGAGGAAAAGUCCCUUCUCUGUUCGAGUCAGAGGCAUUUCUCUGGGACUCUGCAGACAGAACAGCAGGUUUAUGUUUGCCUCUUACUUCGCACGCAGAAGCCCUCCAGAGACAGUCACAGGUCGGUUCUGUACUGAGCUCCAGCUUAGCUUAUAUAUGGACUACAUUUCCAUUUUCCCCGCUCCAGGGCCAGAGGGCUCCCUGACCCUUUUCUCCUCCUUCCCCCCAUGGAGACAUUCUACACCUGCUGCUCCUCUUCCCACUCUUUCCCAGGGGCCACUGACUAUUGCCCUUCUUCAACUUUCCCUGUGUUGGCCACCCUCCCCCAGAUCUCCUGGGGGCAAUGCCCACGUCCUUCCUGGCACAGGUCUUGCAUGCUUUGGACAACAGUGGAUUUCUAAGAGCCAGCACUUAGAAAUCCAGCUCACUAUGGGCAGUAGUCCAGUUCGAUAGUUCCUGUGGCCCCAAUACCCCCUACAAAUAAAUAAGGAAACUGGCAAGCAUGCAGUCAUGAGUUCAAUCCCUGGCACCAAAACAAACAAACAAAUAAACAAACAAAAAAGUACAACAAGGAACCACUGCACAUCUGUUGUGACGAUGUUAUUCAAAAUAGCAGUAACAGCAACCGCAAAACCAAAACAGAAAGUGACAGGUAUUGGUGGGGAUGUGGGGAUGUCGUUAGUGGGAAUGUUAAAUGCUACAGCUGCUGCGGCCAACAGUAUGGCAUUCAUUAAAAAACUCAACAGAAUGAACACUUUGAGAGAGAUGCCCAAAGGAAUUGAAAGCAGACACCCAGACAGAUGUUUGCACGCCAGUGUUCACAGCAGCGUUAUUCACAGUGAGCAAAAGAUGGAAACAACCCAAAUGUUCAUUGGCAGAUGAAUGGAUAAUUCAGAUGUGGUGUGUACGUACAAUGGAAUAUUGUCAGAGUUAAAAAAAUGAAAUUUUGAUAUGCGUUACAACUUGGGUAAGCCUUUAAAAUACACUAGUGAAAUAUGGACAAAUACUGUACUAUUCCACCUACACCAACACCUAAAAUAGCCAAGUUUUUAGAGACAGAAUCUAGUCUAGUGGUGACCAGGGCUGGAGGGUGAAGGACACGGGGAAUUACUGUAAAGUGCAGAAUUUCACAGGAAGAUAAUGAAAAUGGUCAGUUGGAGAGUGGCAAUGAUUAUUCAACCAUGCAAAUAUAUUUAAUGCCACUAAAUUGUACAGUUCAUAUGGUUAAAGCAGUAGAUUUUAUGUUGUGUAUAUUUUACCAAAUAAAAUGAUGGUGAUGGUAAUAUAACAGGGUGAAUACAAAAAUGUCACUGACCUGCACGCAUUAAAAAUGGUUAAGUUGGUAAAUUUUGUUAUGUGUAAUUUACCACAAUAAAAAAUGCUAAAUAAACUGUACAUAAAACUACCUCAUGACCCAACAAUUCUAUUCCUGAAUUUACUCAAGAAAUAAAAACAAAAAAGACAUGUUCAAGAAUAUUGUGAGCAGCUUUAUUUAUAACAGCCCCCAAAAGAAAGCAGCCCACGAUGUCCGUGCACAUUAGAAAGACCAAACCGACCGCGAAAAUUAUUGAACUUAUUCAGCUAGCUGUCCGAACACAGGCCUGAACACAGGUGGUUUUACUCUAGUUGCUUAUUUUUCUUUGGCCGCAAGUGGGCUUUCCUAUUCACUUCCAGACUUUGACCUGAGGACCAUCCGAGACUACUGAGUCUUAGAUCUGCAUGGUUACUUCUGUUAAGACUGUCUUUCCAAAGGGAAGGCUCUCCUGCUAUCUGUGCACAGCCUCUAAGACCUGCUUUCCUGCACAUGGUCCACUAAGUUUUGGUCCAGCUCUUGCCAGAACUGACGGGUGGAACACCCCUGCUCUCCGCGGGAGGGAAGCUAGGCACUGGGUGCUCUGGUUUACCCGGGUCCUGGUUUCCAUCUCCCUAGUGGUCAUAGCUCUAGCUGCUCUUUUCUGUAUUUCAAAUGGGCAUCCUUUGGCCACCAUCACACAGGGCUCUGUGAGCUCUGCUCAUGCCCCUCUUGUUGAUGACCUCUGAGGAACGGUGCCCAGUGCCGGGCACUCUACAAGGAGACAGAUGAGCAGUGUUCUCUGUGCAGUGUGUGAAGGCACGGACUCCUCAGCCACUUGACCUUUUUUUUUUUAAUCUUCUCUUUUUGAGACAGGGUCUCGCUAUGCAGUUCAGAUUGGUCUUGAGCUCAUUUUGUAGCCCAGGUUGGUUUUGAAUUUGUAAGAUCCUCCUGCCUCAGCCUCCUGAGUACUGGGAUUACAGGCGUGCACCACCACGCCUGGUUUUAAUCUAGUGUUUUGUUUGUUUGUUUAUGUAUUUAUUUGGUCUUUUUUGAGGCAGAGUUUCAUUAUAUGGUCCAGGGUGGCCUUGAACUCACUUUGUAACCCAGACUGGCCUCAAACUCAGUGAUCCUCCUGCCUCAGCUCCCAAGAGCUGGGAUUACAGGUAUUCAUCACACCCAGGUUCCAUCUGGUUUUGAAUCUGAAUUUUAUAACAUACUGGUGACUCUUAACACUUCUUUGUGUCAAAAUUUCAUAAUCUAUAAGAGGAAAAAUCAUGCUGCUUCCUUCAUGGUUGUGGUGAGAAUUGUGAGGAUAAAGUUAAUAAAGUAUAAAGUUCAGGGAUGGGGAUAUAGCUCAGUGGCACAGUGCCUGCCUGGCAAGCACGAGGUCAUGAGUUUGAUUCUUGGUACCAAAAAAAAAAAAAAAAAGUGUAAAGCUCUUAGAGCAGUGUCUGGUGAUGCUGGCACUAUAGAAGUGUGGUAUUUGUACCUACUUUGUACCAUGUUCUCUACAUUCUUUGAAGGAUUUUUGUUCUCAGAUGACAGCUGAAAAGAACAAAUACAUGUAUAUCAGCCAGGAUUUGGUCAGGAGACAGGACACCACACCAGCUGUUUCAAUAGGGAAAAUCUAGUUUAAAGAAUUGCUAACCAGUAAAUGGCGACGAAGAAUACGGGAAUGAGAGUUAAAGGAGCAGCCACUCCAGAGUCUCCAGGACUGACAGAGAGAGGAGUGAAUGCCCCUUCCCCAGCUGGGGCUGAGAUCCAGAGCUCCCAGGGGAGGGUGUGCUUGUGGCCCUGUGGGUGGCAGAGGAGCUGGCUGAGGUGCUGCUGCAGGCUGGGCUGGCAAAUGGGACAUCGCCUGCUGGGAGCUGGCAAAAUCCCACUGGGAAGCCACCCACUAGCAGCUGUGCUGCAGGAGCCCUUUACCAAGGAAGAAAAGCCCUUUACCAAGGGAGAGAAGGCUACUCAGUGAGCCUCUGACACUGUCCCUGGGAGCCUUACUGGGGUGACCAUCUAAUAGAGGACCCUUCUUUCAGGGUCCAGUUCCAGGAUACCCUGAAUGGGCAAAGAAGAUGAAGCACUGAACUGCUUCCCAUCUGUGUUCUCACAAUUUAAAAAGCUUCAGAAGGAAGUUUCUCCUAGUUACCUAUUUACAAAAGGAAGCUAAUUAUCCUAAUUAUCUGUUUACAAAAGGAAGCUGAGUAGGGUGCCCAUAAGUUCUAGGUGUUCAAGAGUCCCAGUCCAUGCCCAUUCGUGCAGUAUUAUUAAUAGCACCCUCUAUGUGCUAUUAAUGUUAUGUGGUCUUACACUAGAUAUGGAUGCAUCUGCUUCUGGGAAACCCUCCUGCCGGUAGUAGCUAGAAAACCUGUAACUAUAAACAAGCACAAUUUAGCAGAAUGUGGUGGGGCACACCUGCAAUCCCUAGCUAGGAAGCUUAGGGAUUUAGGGAGAUCUUGUUUCAAAUAAAUAAAAAGAAAAGAAACAAAGAGUUGGGAUUGAGUUCAAUGCAAAGGCUCUGGGUUCAAUCCCAGCAGCAAAACAAAACAAAACAAAACAAAGCAAAACAUUCUGCUCAAAGUCAACAGUGAACUAUCAAGGCAGCCCAGGAGUUAAGAGCCAAGGGAGAGGAAAGAGGCCCGGAGGUGAGCUUGACUCCCUGGGCCACUUCCCUCCUAGAAGCUUUUGCUGAUUUGUAGGUGGAAGUAAUUAAGAUGCUGCAAAGUGACAUGAAAAUACUAAGCUAUAGUUAAAAGGGUAGCUUUCUUUUAUAGGGGAGUAUCCUAUAAGAUCCGCUGGGUCACACCGACACAUAUAUUUUCAACUUUGACAGAUUUUGCCAAGUGAUCUUAAAAAACAAACCAAACAGAACAGUGUCCACGUCCCCUUCCUCUCAUCAAUAUGGAGAGUCUCCUGAGUUUUCUCCACCUAACUGGCUCUCAUCAUUUCUUCUUUUUGGCUUUAACUCAGGUGAAGGGCCACGUGCUCCGGGGUUUACCACGUGGGUCUGAGUAGAUUACAUUUCCUCUAUGUGGUGCUGGUGGCACUAGGGGAGGUUAUCAGGACAGAAAGGGAUUGUAGGCACUCUGAGAGCCAAUCAAGAUGGUCCCCACUGUUAGAGGUAGCGGGGCAUCUUUUGCAUUUCUGUUUACAAAAAUAAUAAUUGAAAUAAUUAUUAAGACAAAAUCCUUUAUAAUGGAAUCACUCCUGCAGGCUGGGCUGGCAAACAGAGCCUGUGGAUGUGAGACGCCCAGGAGGCACAGCAGGCCCCGCCUGCCACAGCCUGUUCCUGUGACUACUGCUCAGGUGGCUUCUCAAGUGGGAUUUGACUUCUCCACAGCAACUUUUUGUAAUCAAAUACUGCACUAUGCACAACCACGAGGAAACACGGGCAUAUAUCUGUAUCUGUACCUUUCCAUAAAUUUGAAUCAAGAUAAUCUUCAUUCAUUAGACCAUAAAUUGCAUUUAGUUAAUCAAAAUGUUUGUAUGGUGCAUCAUGGUGUCUCCUGUGUAUCAGGAACCAAACUCAUAGAGAGAAAAUACAGUGGCUGUUAGAUCCAAUUUGGCUUUUCAUUAUUAGCAAUAAAGAUCCUCUAUACCCACUUUGUGUUACUGGCACUUACACACAGCAAUUUGAACUCUUCUGUUUUAGCUCAUCAUUUAGACACAAAAACAUGGAAGUAAUAAAAAUAAACCAGUUUUUAAAAAGUACAACAGGCAUACAUUCCGAACAUUCAUUUAGGAAAGCAGACUUUGUCUAUUUUUGAUGCUAUAAUGAGUCAUUAAAUUUCAUACAUUUUAAUAUACAGUCCAUUUGUCCCAAUACCCAAGGACACGUUAUUUUAAAAGUUAUGAACAAAACAUGGUCUCCCCUUACAUAAUUAAAUUAAACAUCGUGCAUUACUUGGUAAAUGGGAAAAUGUUGAGACUAGUCUUUUUAUACUACAGGCAUUGCCAUUUUAAUAUUGUACAUGUAUCUAAAAUAAGUCAUAUUUAAAAUUCAGUUUUUAGUAGACACUUUACAGGUUUUUUAAUGGGCAAGCUAAUUUCUUUUUUUACAUUUUUCUUUUUUUCCUUUUUUGUCAGUACCGGGGAUCAAACUCACAACUGACUGCUUGCAAGGCAGGUGCUUAUGCCGCUGAGCUAAAUCCCCAGCCUCCACCAAGCUAAUUUCAAGGUGUUGAAGGAGUUACAUGGUGAAAGGGGUUCUCCGGUCAAGGGAGGCCGGGGUGAUCUUAAUCUGCUCCAGGUUUUUCCAUUUACACAGGAGGAAGCUGAGGCGGAGGUGGAGGAAGAGACUUACAUAAGAUUUCUUUACACGCAGGGCCAGGGAGCAGCGGAGCUAAACUCUGAGCUCACUGCUCUGCAGAGCCAGCGUGGCUGAGGGUACAUGUCUGCGGGUCCCACCAGACAGGUCUUCACUGGACCGGGUCUCCAGCAGCUGGGGUGCUGACCCUGUCCCCUCUCCAGGUUCAGCAUUUCCUGUCUAGGUUCCUCGGUUUCCUUGUGGGCUAAGCCCACUUAGUUCCCUUUAGAAGGAGCUGUCUUUUUGCACACACAAUUGGGAUGUGUCACUGUCUACCAACCCAAUAGAGGAGCAGAUAAAUGGACGGAGAGGGGAGAAGGCUGAGCACCCAUCAUGGGGUGACUGAGGAAGGACGAGGGGUGCGUUCUUCAAAUGGGAGUGGAUUUAGAAAAUACUGUAAAAAGGUUCACAACUGUACUCUCCUUCUUACCAGGAAAUUAACCUCUUUCUAUUGAGAAAAAAUUACGUUCAUCCUGGAGCAAACCUUGUAUCUACCUCUUCAGCCUUUCUCAGCUUUGGGGAAAAACUUAUUUCAAAGGAUCACUGUGCCACCAAUUUCUUCUCCCAAACUGGGUUCUUUAUCCGUCUCAGAACAGCAGAACCAAAAGACCAAGCACUGAAGGAACAGUGAAGAAUUUCACUCUUGGCCACAAAUUGGGGGUCCAGGGACUAUGGAUAUAAGGUAAAAGAAAAGAGGGGGAAAGAUAGGCUAGAAAAGGGAGGAGUAGUUAGUUACGUCUUUUCUGGGCAUUCGGGUGCCUCCUCUUCCUGUUACUCACCGUUCUUUCCAGUCAUUGUCACAUUGUACUGGGGAGUUUGUCACUGAACACGCAGAUGGGAUUAUAAGGAAGCUGUCUGGCAGUCACUCUGGUGGCCACCUAGGGCCCACCUGGUCUCAGCCAGCCCAUCCAAAGAGGGACUUUUGGUUCACUGGUGUCCUGCCCUUAGACACACACGAUUAGGACCAGGAAGAAAUUCAGCUAAGUCAAGUGCAAGUCCAGGUAACAUCAGCCCUUGUUUUACCCUGCGAUGCCUGCACACAGUCCAGGAAGCCCCAGCCCUGCAACCCCCAUCUGCCAGGUGUCUGAUAGGAUACACUAGGGUGCAGCCCACCACAUUUUGGAGCUGCUCAUGAUGUGUCUCCUACAGUUACAAAACAACCAGAGACAGCCUCACCUAGCUCCUUUCUAUGGGUGGAUCAGUCCAAUCUGAACAUGGCUUGGAGUGUUCUGAUAACAUCAGAGCUGAUGUGGCCCCAUAUGCCAGUAAUGUCAAGGUUCUGGGAGGCUGGGGCAGAAAGAUUACAAGUUUGAGUCUGGCCCAGACAAGUUAGAGACACCGCCUCAAAAUAAAAAGUACAGAGAUCUGGUAUGUAGAUCAGUGUGAAGGCCCUAGGUUUGAUCCCCAGUACCACAAAACAAACACAAAACAAAGCAAAACAAAAAACCCACUCAGGAGGUCCACACCUCCACAGAUUUCAUAGAAUCUGUGGCUGUCCCUUCACUGCCACCCUGGAUACUGACACCUCUCCUGCUUGAAUUCAAGGUCUUCUAUAAUCUGGAACCAAGCUACUGCUAGACAUUUGUCACCCUAACACAACCUGUUUCUGGGGUCAAGUCACCAUGAAGCUGACUGCACCAGUGAUCUGCCUGCAUGGCUUUCUCACGCUGGUCCCGCAUGAAGAGCCCUGGUCUUGUGCUGUUUGGUCUCCUGGGCUAAGUGAGUAGAGCGGUCACCAAACAAGCUAACAGGUGCUCAAGAGACAAGAUGAUCAGAACAAGCCAGAGGAAGAGUGGCUGGCGGAGGAGAUGGACCGAGAAGGUGGCAACCGCUGGGAUCGAAGGAGGACAUAGAUUCCUCGGAGACUUAAGGAUGGUCCUAAGGCCAACACCAAUGUUCACAUUUUAAUUCCUUUUGAAAUGAGACACACAGAGAGAGAGAGAGAGAGAGAGAGAGAGACAGACAGACAGACAGAGACAGAGACAGAGACAGAGAGUGAAUGUAACUACAAAUUUAGCUUGAAUUAUACUCAUUUUUUAUACCAUCGCACAGUAAAAUAUAAUUUUUGAAAAAGCUUUUAUUUUUUUAAACUGAGGAAAGCGGUCCCGGAAAACGAAAGUGCUUAUGACCCGGAACAGCCAUAAUCCGGUCCUGGAUAUAGUGUUUACAUUUUCUGAUUUACAAAACGGAUAUUCGGAUGCUUUUAUGAGAUCAUUUCAUUUUAAAGAUUGAAAGCGCGUUUUCAAAUGAAAGAAAAGCGAAACAUUCGUCUAGGCUGCAGCGUCCCCGGAGCCCGGGUUACUCCGCCCCUCGACAGGGGGCGCGCGAGUCGACUCGGGACGUGCCCGCUCCGGCAGGGCGGGAGCGGCGGUCGCCGUCGCGGGCAGAGGCCGCUUUCGGAGCCCAGGCCGCGCGGGAAGGCGGGCACCUGCAUCCCGGAGCCCAGCGCCCGCUCCCACCCCUGUCGUGUGUCUCGACGGCCGCCAGGCCCCUCCGCGCCGCGCCUGCCUCUCCGCCGCCUCCCCGAGGACGCGCGACGGCUCCCGCGGGGCCGGGCUGCCCCCCCGUGGCUCGGCCUGCGCACUUCCGAGGCCCUAAAGGCAGCGGCUAACCCAACGCUCCACGCGCGAACCGGACCCUCGCCGCACUCCCCGGCUCUUUGGGACGCGGGUACCGCACCGCACCCGGGAGCGCGGCCCGAGUUGCAGAAGGCGCGGGUCCGAGCCUAAGCGGUUGCGCAUGCUCCAUGGCGGGCUUAGGGAGCCCUGAUAGGGCCAUCGCGCGGCUGGUUCUACGGAGCUCCAGUGGCGCAAUCGGUUAGCGCGCGGUACUUAUAUGGCAGUACGUCAGAGCGAUGCCGAGGUUGUGAGUUCGAGCCUCACCUGGAGCACUACCAUUUUGGGUGUCCGCACGCCCCAUUUUAUCUCCUUGCUCGAACGGAGCCAGUCGUUUGGUUUCAUUUCCGGCCUGUUAACUAAUUUGCCCCACGAUCCGCGUUGCCGCGGCAGGAAACAGCUCUUUACCGGUUACUUUUCUGAGCUACUUGUAGCCCCAGCGCAGCAUCCAGCGCUCAGGUCCCCACGUCCACCUUCUGCUUCCUCCUGCUUCUCUUAGGCGCUUCUGUAACUUAGUUCCUCACUGGCGACGGCGACGUGGGGCGGAGGUCUCGGGCGCUGCCCUGGAGCUGGGGCCUAGGGGCGGGGAAUGGGCAUCGCGAUCCAGGUCGCUUCUCUCCCCUGGGGAAGGCCAAACUCCGCGUCCCGGAGGAGGUCGGGCCGACAGCUGGGGCCGGCGAGGUGGGGACUCGGGCGGCGGCUCCACCGUCCCGACCCCUCCCGGGGGUGCAGACCCGGACAGCGCCCUCCAGGGGCGGUGUGCGGUUUGGAGAAAGUGUCGCCCUGAAAUGGAGAGGGUUUCUAGGCUCAGGAGUCGCCCCGCGGCCGCCGGGUUUGCGACCAGCUCAGGACCAUCCCCAGCUCCGCGGGGGCCGCUCGGUCACCCUGAGGCGCUGGCGGGGGGGGGGGGUUGGAUUGGAGCUCAGAAGGCCGCUGGACCACUCUCAAAGGGCAGUUUCCAGCUGCGUGUCGGUCCGCACCCCAAGUAGGUGGGAUCAUCAUCAGCAGAGCGGUGAGCCCUCCUUCCAGAGAUCCAAUACAGGCCUGGAAACAAAUCUCUACUCAUUAGAAAAAAAAGUUUCCUUAACGUCUUCUUAAAUAAAAGAAACUUUAUUGAUACCGGGAGUGAUGGCAGACACCUGUAAUCCUAGCACUUGGGAAGCUGAGGCAAAAAAAUCACCGUGAGUUUGAGGCCAGUCUGGACUACACAGCAAGACUUUGUCUCAAAAACAACAAAACAAAAAACCAGAAAGCCAUUAGUGAGAUAUAAGUCACAUGCAAUGUAAUUUACUUAUUUAAAAUGCACAACUCGAUUUUAAUCUAGUCACAGAUACGUGUGUGCAACCAUCAAUCUUGAAUGUUUAUAUCACCUCAGCAAGAAACCCCUUAUCUUUUAGCUAUUUCUAGAAGUACAGUCAUACAGCAGUGUCCUUUUGUGGCUUUUUUUCUCCUACUAACUAUAACAUUUUUCUAGAUCCAUACCUGUUGUACGUCCUCAUUUUAUUUAUUUAUUUUUCCUUUUUUUUUUAGAUGAUGGCUCACUGUACUGCCUAGGAUGGUCUCAAAGUCCUGCAAUCAUCUUCCUGGUGAUCUAAUGGCUAGGAUUCCACAUAUUCCAAGUUCUUGGAUCCAGGGAUCCUCCUGCCUCAUCUCAAAGUAGCUGGGAAUACACCCCCGUGCCUUGUUCAUUUCUUUUUAUAACUGAACAAUAUUCCAUUGCAUGAAUUAUUUGCAGAAAAUGCUGGCAUUUUCAACAGAAAAGUUGCUGGAAACUUCAAGAUGGAAUUAGUUUUAAAUGUGCAAAGCAUGAAAGUGAUCAGACCUGUCAAGUGCAGGUUUCUGACCUCCAGAGCUUACCCCCUAACCACUAGAGGCUGUUGUCUUCUGAGAGCUGAGCACAGAGCAGAUUGCCAACAUAGAAAAGCAUAAAUGAGUGAAAAAGCACCCCCUCCGGCUUCCUGGCUGCAGAGAAACAACUGGUACAAAACCUCACUCUGACUUUAAAACAUCCAGCCUCAGAAUUGACUUUCCUUUCAAGGCAGCCCAUUCUCUUUUCUGGCAACUCUGGUGGUUAGAACAUUCUUCUUACACAUCAUUUCUGUCUCUGUUGGUUAUGGCUGGAACUGAGGUGGCUUGGGAGAUCAUUUUUUUUUCCUCGUAAAAUGGUGGAGUGGGAAGGAAGGAAGCUAAACUAGUGGCAUAGAAACCCAAACUAGAAAAUUAUCAGUGGCCAACAAAUAGACUACUCUGUAGGCAGAUUUGUAGCCCAGCAUCUCAGUAAUGUUGAUAGGAUUUUUUUAGGGUAGUGGUGGGUAAUAAAAAUCAACUCAGAAAAUUUUGAGAAAAUGCUUUCUAAAUCAUACAGACUAUAACAUGAUUAUUAUUAUUAUUAUUAUUAUUACUGACAGACUAGUGGAUCAGGGCUGCGUAUUAUGUACAGUGGCUCCCGGGAGGAAGAUGACUAUGUACAAGGUAAACAAACUAGGAAGCUGGACCACAACAAUCCUUAGCAGGAGAGAAGCCUGCACUCUUCCGGGGUGACAUCAGCCUUGGGAACAGCUUAGAAAAAGACAGGCUCCUCAAAACCAUGAGUGACAUAGUACAGAUUCAGUAGAAUUUGGAGGAAGAGCAGAGCCAGUCUGCAGACAAAUGACAAGUGGGACAAGACAGGGUUUGAGAGACGGUUCCAAGUCCACGUUCUGUUCAAAGUGCAGAGUGUGGUUGUGGCAGACGCCGCAGCUGUUUGCGUGUAGGAGAUCUGGGGGUUCAGAUGCAGGUGAGCUUAGUGGUUCCGGCAGUUGACCCAGCUGCUGGGAGAGGCAGCCGCUUAUUAAUGCGCUCUGUACCAUGCCUCACACGGGGUGCUGAGACGGCCGUCAGUGGGGGAACAAAUCUAGCUUGCAGACGGUUUUUCUUUUUUCCUUUUCAGGAUUGACUUACAUUUAUAUAUAUAUAUAUAUAUAUUUAUUUUAUUUUAUUUUUUUUAAAGCCAGUCAAAUUUAGCAGUGGGGGGGGGUGGUAUACCAACUUUAGUGACACUAAUGUUAAUAAGUUCUGAUAACCCACUGCCAUCGGACCAGCCCUUACAUUUAUAUUUUAAAAAAAUCAUUUGUCGACAUCCUGGGAGAUUUCAUAGAAACAGCCUAGAUUUCCAGUUUUAGCAAAAACCCAGAAGACUGCCAUCAGGGCCCUUAUUCCUCCACAGCAACUUCACUUCCCCUUUUGGAUGUCCGUGUGGUCUUUAGCUGCUAGAGUCCCUGUCACUGUCCUUUAGCCUCUGACGCUGUCAUGCGAAAGGCUGCCGCUGAGUCACUCGACUCUUCCAUCCUUUGCAGCCUAGUGAGACCCUGUCUCCUAACUGCCCCUCCCCAAAAAGAAAAAAAAUUGUCUUGCAAAUAUUGCAGUAGAUAUAUGCAACAGGUAACCACUUUAAACAAAAAAAGCAAAAUCACGGUACCGUUAUGACACUUAACUAGAGUAACAAAAGUUCUCCACACUUGUCUCUAAAAGACGUUUCAAAUCGAGAUCCAAACAAGGUCCACCCUUUGUAUUUGACCGUGUAUUAACCUGAACUAAUUCCUUUUCUUCUCACGUCCUUGAAAGGUACCUUUUUGGUUUGCCUACAGAGUUUCCCACAGAAGUUGGCUAAUUGCACCCUUAAGGCAUCUUUUGACAUGCCCAUCAGUCUCCAGUGGCAGUUAGAUUGACACAAUAUUGGGAUUUAUUUAUUUGAAAAAUAUAUAUUUCAGGCACGACUCUGCAUGAUUACACCACCCCAGAAACUACAUAAUGUCUUGUCCCUCGUCUAAUGAUGCUGAUUUUGGUUGGUAAUUCUAGAUGUAAUUCUACUCUGACCAUUAGUGAUUUCCUCAUCAACCACUGACAAAUGCUUUUAGUAACCUUUUAUGAUCGGUGUCUAGAUCUAUUAUUAUCUUAAAAAAUAUUAUUAUUAUUAUUUAGGGGUGGUUGAGACAAGAUCUUACCAUGUAGUUCAGAUUGGCCUUGAACUCAUGGCAAUCCUCCUGUCUCAGCCUCCUGAGUGCUGGGAUCACAGGUAUGCACCACUACACCCAGCUACACAAUGAUAGCUUUCUAAUGGUAUUAUUCCUUUUAUAACUAUGAUUCUAAAAAUUAUUUAGUUUUCCUAAGGCACAAUUCAUAUAGAAAGGAUCGAAUAAUUGCUUGGUUCUUUUUUCUACUAGUAUUUUAUAAUAAUGAGUUGAUGCUCUAGUGAUUUUCAAAAGUGGACAAUUAUGUUUUAGCUUCGUAGCUUUGUUGGAGUUAUGGGUGAUGUCCAAUGAGCAUCACUGAUAGUGGGAAGUCAUUUUUAUGUGCUUAUUAGACAUUUGUGUAGAUUCUUUUUGGUGAAGUGAGUGUUCAGAAUUUUUGAACUUUUUAAAUGGAAUUGUUUGCCUCUUUUGUUGAUGAAUUACAAGAGUUUGGGGGUAUAUUUUAGAUAGUUUCUUUGUCGGCUAUGUUUUGCGAAUAAUUUCCACAGCUUACAAGUUAGGGCUUUCUAGAGAAUCAGAAUGUAGUGAAUUUUGGCAACACAGUGGGCUUGCUAACCCUGUCAGUGCCAUCACAUUGCUGUUACAGUUUUAUGAGGUCACCCUGUGUAUGUGGUCUGUGGGGGCCUGAAACAUGGUAUGUGGCUAUUGUUCUUCUUUCUUUUUAUACUCAGUUUUAUUUUUUCUCCCUUUUUAUAGUUUCUUAAGCUGAAACUGUAAAACUAAAUUCUCCUUAAUUGUUUUUAUUUUCCCCACUGGUUGGAUGGCCACUGGGAGGAUAGGCAGACGGCUGGGGUAGCCAGCUCUGGGAAGGCCUGGAGGACUGAGGAGAUUUCCUUAGGAGCCCUCAGGAACGCGCAUGAGAUCCUGCCGUGGCAGGGCUCUCCCGUGCACAUGGACUGAGACACAAAGGCCCGCAGUGGUGCUGCAGGCCUGGUGUCCGAGCUGGCCCCUGUGACCUCUUCAAGCUCAGCUCCGUCUCCCUGCCCUGGCUCUCUGGGCUGAAUCUAGUCUCAUCUUUCUCUGCCUUUUCCUUGUGUCUGCUUUAGAGCCUGGCAGGGCCCACUGCUGCUCUUAGAACAGCUUCCCCAGGUCUUUGGAGGCUGCUCACUCCACGGAGAGGGCUCAGCCAGGUGUAGCUCCUCACAGAUCGGGCUGAGCACAGUCCCUCCCUGUCACUUGGCCUUGUUUGGCACUUGCUUAUUAUGUCGAUGACUAUCUAAAAUUAUCACAUUUAUCUCAGUGUUCCUGGUUCAUCGCCCAUCACUUGGCUGUACUCCCCCAUGGUGCCAAGCUACCAGCGUGCGGCACGUAUUCAGUGCGUGAAGCAGGAUGACUCAAGCAGCACAUGGGCACAGACUCGAGCUGAGUGAGGACCCAGUGCCCUGAGAUGCUGUCGAGUACCUUAGGAGGUCCAGAGCUACUCCAGGGGGAAGGUAGGCCUGGGCCAUGAGCUUGUCCAAUUUUAGCAUGGAAGGUGUCAUGUUCCAGGAAAUACCUUGUCCCUGGCACCUCAGGGUGGCCUGUUGCUCUCAGCUGAAGUGUUCUGAUGGCAGACAGUGGCUGAUGGUGAGGGAUGGUUUUGUGCUGGAGCUGAGGCAUGAGUGUGUCCACUUUGGCUGGUGACGGAUCCUGAGCAAUCCAGCUUUGACUUUCCCAGGCGCCAGGCCUGGAGGGAAGGAGAAGUUGUAGUUUCUUAAACUCCUGCAGUGACCUGACCACAGGUCUCUGUCCUUGCUUGCCUAAUGUAUUCCUUGACUGUUCUUAUUGUUUCCAUUUUGGAGACACACACUGAGGCUCAAUAAGGUUGUGUGAUUGCCCAAUUUAGACGGACUCUAUGGGACAGAGGAGGUGAGAGUGACUGGUUUUGUUCACACCUUGGUCCAGACCUCCCCAGCUGUUUCAUGUGAGGGCGAGGCCCAGAGGUGUGGCUGGGACCUCGGUCUGACAGUCAUUCCACAGUCUCUGGAACCCAGCCCUCCUCGGUGCCCCCACUGUGAGCUGGGUAAGGGGCUUUCUUUUGCCAGAUGAGUGGCUGUGCCCGGCUGCGCAGUCUUCUACCGCACGGUGGCGCUGUGGCCCUGUUCAGGAAGGGUCUUCACCUCUGGUACCUGGGCAGGAGCAGCCACUGGCCGGAUUUCACCCUGAGACUGCAGGACAGCUGCAGCUGCAGCCUCUCUGUAGCUUUAACAGUGGCCCGGAUCGACCCUCAGGGUGCACAAAACACGCACAGCAGCUUGGGAGCAGUGGGCGGGAGUGGGAGAAAGGGCAAGUGAAGGCCCGGGCUGGGGAACAGGAAGGCAGGCAGACAGGAGGGUCCUGGCCGCCCAGCUGGUAGAAAGAUGCAGAAAGGAUUUAUGCAUGGGCCUAGGUCUCCACUGGGCCAUUGUCGAUUCUCGAUUCUCGGCAAAAAGCAGCACUGCCAUCUGUAAACGUUUAAUCCUUCGAAGCCUGCCCAGCACCGCUGGGAGCCUGCUGAGAGCGAUCAGCUUCUUAAUUCUGUCUUUUCCCCGUCUCUGGGCUGAGGGCUGAGUCAUUAACUCGUUGCAUAGAAUCAAUUAAAAUAUUUGAUUUAAAUUUAAAAUGUCAUGUAAGUUUUUUCAUAGGUAAUAAACUGAUGGGUUCAAAAUUCAAAAGGCUUUUCCUACUGAAUAUAUGAACAAACCGGUUGCCAACAAUUCCUAACAGAAAAGCGGCAAGGACCUUGAAAGAGAAGCAUUAAAACCAGGUGGAAAGUGUCACCCUUGGGGCUGCAAAAACUUUCUUCUUGAGUCCUGAGGAUUACCAGUGUUGGAGGAUAUUUUUGAUGUGCAGGAUUCCAGGUUGUAUGAAGUCAUGUGGUUUCUCACUGUGAUCUUGUUUCUGUAUAGAGAGUCGUUGCUCUCAUCCUGAGAGUAGUCUUUUUUCCUCAUUUUCUUCAUUGGUUUCCUCAUGGUUUCAUAGUUUGCUGUCUUAUCCACCUCAGAGAUGUUUUAUCAUUAGUGACAUGAUGGAGAGAUGGGGCCUAGAGUGGUGAGAACGGUGCGUUGGGAGGACAGUUGGUCUGGGACCAUGGUCCUGCCUCUGUCUGGAGUUUCGGCCAGCAGCAGCAGUUAUCCAAGACAGGACAAGCUGGCUGAGAGGGGUCCACUUCCGGAGGGAGCCCUUUUUGCUGAGGUCUGGGAACUGACUUGUCCAGGGCAGACUGGGCUCACAGGCUGGCCAUCGUGACCUGUGAGCCCAGUGAGCAGGACUCCCAGGGCAUGAGGUCAGGACAUAAGGAUCAUCUGGGUGGCUCUAGGGGAUGGCCUGUCACGAGUUCUGUCCUCUGGGUGGCCAGAACCCAGAGCUCAGAGACUGGGGAGCCAGGGAAGUUGUAAGACUGAGAACUCUGAACAGGGACCAAGGUGUCCCAGUGUAUUGGGAACCCAGGCAAGAAUCCUCAUCAUCAGUCUCAAGAAUGUGGCAAGAAAAAUAAAAACAGAGACAAAUACAGUAUUCCAGCAAUGGCUGGGAAGGCAGUGUCUCUGGGUCGGCUGCUCCCAGAGCAGCCACUAUUGAUUAGGCAUAUACAGUGAUAGGUGGGGUUAGUAGCAUAUUACAAUUUGUCCAAGACUCCCACUUCACAGGGCAUAGAUAAUCUUAUGUUUAGAAAUAUCUUGACCUGGAGUAUCAUCCUGAGAUGACUCAAGAGGGUGUAGAUGACUCAGUGGGAAAUCCCAGAUGGUGGUAUCAAUAAUCCCAAUCCUUCCUAUUAUCCCAUAAGGAAAUAUGCAAAAUUAGCCGCUGUGAAUUUGUGGUCCUCAAUACCAGUGGGCAGUGAAGGACUUGGAGAAUCAUAAUAGCCAUUGCUCAAGGUGUCCAAUCUGUCCUUGUUGCAUUUCAGAAAAUGGUGUUUAUGUCUCUGAGCACUCAGGAAAUGGAGCCCCUGUGUACAUGUCGGGCCGGGAGCAUCUUCAGGGACAGUUCUCCUGCGUGGAGCCUGGUCCCUCCUCCCUCCUCUCUCUCCAUGUCUCUGGAUGCUGAAGUGCCUAUAUGGACCUGUUCACAGGGGGUCCCUUGUCUGGGCACCGAGGAGGGGACACAGCUUAUGGCUGGAAAGCAGGCAACCCACUUUGUGCCACCUGCGUCCUGUGGCCUCAGAUUGCAGGCUCUGCUUUCAUCAUCCAUACAGUGGGGUGAUGCCUUUGCAACCUGGGCCCCUCAAGGAAGAAUGGAAGAACAAGAGGAGCCAUCCUGUCCCCACAAGGGGUUGCCUGGGGAUAACCGUAACUAUUUGCAAGCGCUGCUGUGGAGUGGGCUUCGAGGGGCAUGACCCUCAAAGAUAUCAGAAUUUGCCCUUAAGGGAAUAGGGAUUCCAUGAGUGCACACUGAUGUCAGCUUCAGCAAAGGAACAGGCAUUCCACAUAUCCCACCUGUGCGAAGCUGUUCAGGAAACAGAAUGAUGAAGAGUCACUAAACAAGUUGUAUGUUUUGCUAAUUUAUGUCUCUGUUGUAGCAUUAAAAUUUAGACAAUGUGGAUGAGAACUAACUACUUAUUGUCAAAUAAAAUUACAAAACAGCCAAAAAAUGGGAUGUGGCUGUGGCUCCAACCUGCAUUGCAGAUGAUCAAACGAAGACAAAGGAAGGUGAAUCGUCAGCUGCAACACACCCUCCUGUGGCUGCUCCCAAAGGGGAAUGGAGCCUGCUUCUCCUGUUAGCUCCAGCAGGUGGCAGCAUUUCAUUCCGUGUGUCUCAGCUCCACCCCGGCCCCCUUCCAGACUCACAAUGUGUAGGAUCAGGGUAGCCAGGCACAACUGACCGCCACAUUCCCACUUCCCUAGGUGCAAAGGGGUCAGGGGAAGGCGGGUCCAGAACGCCUGGCCUUAAAAGGUCUUGGAAAGAGAAUGAGAAAGCAGAGAUCAGAAAGGAGGGUGAGAAAGGGUGAGAGACUUGGGCUGAAGAGUGACCCUGUCCUUUGCUGCCGCCAUGGUCUCCCAGCCCUCCGGGAGGAGGUAGUUUGGGACCCAGAAGGCCAGGACUUGUCCUCUGUUGUUGGAAAGGCUGCUGGCAUUUCAGCGAGGAAGGGGUGGGUCUUUUGUUUUUGUGUGUGUGAAAGGAUUGAGAAUUCACAUCAUUCUACAGUUCAUAUGAGUGGUGGCAUGGGGGGUUGGGUCCUUUAUUUAUUACUUUAUAAUCUGGCCUCUCUCCCAGUCGCUGCGUGAUGAUUAGUGAGAAGAACAAUGAAAUGCUCACUUUGAUUUAAAUGUCAUGGGACCAGAGUGCUUAGCCUGUCUUGUUAUGCAAUCUUAAUUUCUCUCGCAUCAAAGUGCUCAGGUUUCAGAUUCCUUCCCCAGCUUCCCCCUACAUUGGGGUCAGGGUGCAUGGAUGGACAAGGACAGCUGUGUGACAUCUGUCAGGAGGAAGGGGUUGGGAUCCUGGGUGUGGUGUCUGCUGAUUUCCUGGCAGGGCCUUGGUUUCCCUUUCUCACCCUGCCCCCCUUACCAUCUCAAACUGAUUCCCCUUGCAGAGAGUUUGCCCUGGGUUGUGGGCUAAUCCAAGCCCCACCAGCUCUGGCCCCUCUCUCCUGUGGGGUCUCCUAGCUAUGCAGCUGUGCGCCUGGCAGGCCUGGCGGCUUACAGCUCAGCAGCCAGGCCGCUGGGUGGGAACCUGGAGCCCUGCUGUGGUGGCGGAGGCGGUGGUUCUGGGCAGCCUGGGUGAUCUUCUGUAGAGCUCCAAGGCCCACAAGGGACCAGGUCCCUCUCCCAGGCAGGGUGAGCUGGACAGACAUGGCCCCUUAGGUCCUGUUGGUGGCCUUCUUCCUAGUUGGCUUGCCACCAUCCCCCAAGAUGAGGACUGAAACUGUUCUGCCCUGACAUCCAUUCCAUAAAAAUUCCCAGUCAUGGGGCUGGGGAUUUAGCUCAACGGCAUAAGCACCUGCCUUGCAAGCAGGCGGACGUAAGUUCAAUCCCUGAUACCGAUUUAAAAAAAAAAAAAAAAUUCCCAGUCACACCCAAGGAGAGAUGCAGGGUUCCAGAACAUAUGUUCUCAAGAGGAGAGCCUGGUUUACCAGACUGCCGGCUCACAGCAUAAGCCUAUUUUGUAAGACUGAUGCCAAACAUUACCAUGCUUUUUCUCUCUUUUUUUCUUUUUCUGUCUUAUUGUUGUUUGUUUGUUUUUGAGGCAGGAUUUUGAUAUGUAGUCCAGUCUAACCUUGAACUCUUGGUGAUCCUCCUGCGUCAGCCUCCUGAGUUCUGGGACUACAGGUAUGCGCCACCAUGCAUGGCCCACAAUGUUUUUUUCUAUCAAAUCCCACUUUCUCUUGAAGCAGAGAUUGUUUCCGAAAGCUUGCGAAGAAGAUGAAGCUCAUGGGGUCUGCAUCAAGGCAAAAGAGAAAAACUCAGUCCACAGAUUUUCAAAUGCCGCACCUGAAAUGGUUCCAAGAGUGGAUGAUGGAACCGAAGAAACCAUAACAGGUACACAGUGGGUGCCUCAUCCACAAGGAAACUUCACCUUUGUGCUGGGAUGAGACUUCGUCUUCCUGGGGAAGGUGCACAGUGAGACAGUUGCCACUCGGGUUACAGGAGGAUCACACUGUGGAAAGGAUUCCUGGUGCAGGAGGAAUCCUUUUGGGAGAGAUAUCAGCCCAAUGCCAGAAAGGAAGGCUGUGAUUGAUGGAUGAAAGGAAGACUGGGAUUGGUGGGCUCUGGUCCCACCCCUCACGUGCCGUUUCCAAUUAGAGAAAAGAAGAUGGAGGCAAUGGCCACACCUCACCCUGGGAAAACCUCCUUCUUGAUGCUGGCAUCUCCCCUUCCAGCACUGUUGUUUCUGCAAAAAGCUUCCGUGGAAGAAAAGGCAAAGGAAAAUCCAGGAGCUGCUGGUAAACCACUGUUUCAAGUAAAGACGGAGCCAAGGGUGUGGCUGAAAAACCUGUCUUAAUGCCUUGGAACAAUUUAGGCACCUCUUGUAGACUGUUUGGCAGUCACCAGUGCUUCCGGGAAUCUUAGGCUGUACCUCUUAGAUCCUCCCCCGGACCACGCAGCGUGCUGGUGUAAGGAGACAAAGGCCUUGCUGCAAGAAUUGGAGCUGUGCCUUUUGUCCACCAGAGCAGGCUAUAGUCUGAUGCAUAAGAAACCCAUGAAGCUUUUGAAAGCAGCUCUUCUGCGCGGAAUCUCCUGAAGCUGAGUUUCUCCUCUCUCUGCUCAUCUCCCAUGGAUCAACUGCAAGCCUCUGGUGUUUCCUCACACACACUCGCAAGACUUCUCAGAGACUCUGGGAGACAGGAGGAGGGCUGCUAAGGCACGGCUUCGGGGCUGCUGCCUCGGGUGCCAGUCCUGCUUGUCCGCCUCACUGUCCCUCCCUCUCUCUGCUUCUUCCUUCAUGUUUCUCUGCAUCGCCUUCCCGUCUUGUGCUCUUUCUCCCUGACCCAAGUGAAGGGGGCUAAACGUGACUUGGUGUAUCAGACUCUGCAUGCCGUAAGCCCAGAUGCGCUUUCAAGGAUGUUGCUGUGCAACUGCCUGUGUCUAGUUUGGGGCGAGACAGAGCUCAGGAGACCUGAUAGGCAGUGAGAGCUGAGCUUUCCUCUUUGCAGCACUAGGAUUGAAUCCAGGGCUUUUGCACUGAGCUGAAUUUCCAGCUGUUUUUUUAUUUUGAGACUGAAUCCUGCUGAGUUGCUAAACUGCCCGGGCUGAACUUAAACUUUGUGACCCUCCUCCUUCAGCCUCUCAGAGUACUGGGAUUACGGGCCUGCAUCACCGCUCCCACCUGGGAGCUUGGUUUUCUGGCUACUCCAACCCUUGCUUCCUGUAAAAGGAAUGCAAAUCCACAGCACAGGGUUGUAUAGAUACCAUCAUAGUCUCCCUUCAACUCUGCCCUUUGGGGUCUAGGUCCAAGUCUCGGGAUCGAUGCCCUUUGAAGACUCAAGGGAUGGCAGGCCCAACCAGAGCCAGGAAUAUACACUUCAAAGGUUGAGCCGUCUCUCUUUUCCCUUGGCCACUGUGAUCUUUGUCACUUUCCUCCCCUGGGAGUAUCUGGAGGGCCUGGCCAUGGAGAAAGAUGAAGGCAGAAUUGCUGGCUCAAGGUCCAUGCAUAUAAUAAAGGCGCCUCCCAGCUCCACCUAAAGAAUGCAUGGUGUGCGGUCACUCACGCACAUCCCUAGGGCAGCAGACUUCCCGCCACCAACCAUCUCUUAGUGCAAAGCCAGCAUCUUUUCCAUCUGUGUUGAAGCUGCGGCCUAUGAAAUUGUGUCUAUAAAAACAGAAUUGCAAGUAAAAAUAUCAAAUGCAGUAAGUUAUAGCUGCACAGUUUCUCUCCUGAGGGAUGCCCUGGUCAGAGAGCAUCCAACGUUCCCCUCUAGGAUGUUGGCUUGUGUUUCCUCAGAAAGCGCCCCACUGGUCCUGGGAAGAAAGGGCCUGGAUGACGGAAGUCUAUUCAGUAGAGCUGUGGUGCUUGGCUGGCCGUACCUGCCUGGCAUCUUAAUUUUUCUUCCAAAGCAGAGUUGUUCAGCUGCAAAAUGAAGGCAAAAAAGGAGUCUGCCCAGGGGAGCAUUGCUGGCCGGCUUCCAUCACGACAGUCGCCACCCUCGUCGUCAGCCCUCUGCCACAAGUCAAGACCCUGCACCGUCUUUUUACCCGAUGUAGCUCAUGCAUCACUUCCUGGUGUCAGAUAAGCGCUAGGGGGAGGGGGAACCUAGGAGAGUGAUGAUGUGACAGAGAUGGAGGCUUAAAUUCUCCAGGGAGAUACAGGUAGCUGUGUAAAAAAUUUAGAACCAAAGGAAAGUUAUCAAGACAAAAAGAACUGAAGAAUUCUCCCAGAGUUCAAAGAGAGACAGAAAAAUGGAUGAGAGGGAGCAUCUUUAUCAUCCCAGCACUCAGGAGGCUGAGGCAGUAGGGUCUUGAGUUUGAGGCCAGCCUGAGCUACAUAGCAAGACCUUACUGCACACAAAACAAGACAAAACAAGAAGACAAAAUGAAAAUGAAAACAGAGAGACAGAGAUAGAGACAGACAGAGACUUGUAGAAGGAAGUGGAUUUUACUCUGGACCUAUGGAAACAAAACAGGGAAAGGCCCCUCUGGAAGAGAAAUGGACACAGAGAUGGGAAUGAGAAUUGAAUUCAGCUGAGCUGUACCCCAAGGAUUCUGAGGCACAGAUAGGACAGCGGGUUGAGGGGCGGCUGGGAUGAGAUCAAGGAACAGGAAGCAUAAAAGAGAACCCACUUAGCCUGAGGCUCGUGGCCUUUUCCCUGGUGGAGAGGUGGAGGAGCACCGGAGCCACUGAGCUGUGGGAGGGCGGUGGGUGCUGGACACAGUCCCUCUGUGGGUGGUCGGGCCCUGUGAAGAGUCUCUCCAUACUCUCUUCCCUAAAAGGUGCCCAGUCCCCCUCACUUCCCACAGGGUAGUUAAAAAAUUCAACACCAAUUUUGAGUGCUUGCCAUAUGCUUUAAGUCCUACUCUUUUGUACUUUGUCCCCUUGCCUUAAGUGUGUGAGUGUGUGUAUGUUUGUGCACACUACACCCCUACACUUUACCUCAGUGCAAACACAAGCACGAGAGCCUUCCUAAAAGUGGCUUUUGCUCCAGAAAGGUGUGGAGUGUGUCAUUGUCACCUCCCGUGGCCACCUUGCCCUUCUCUGUGGAAGCAGUCAGUGUGACCUGCAGUGGUGGUCAGGAGAGAAGCCCAGGGCUCCAGACAAGGGCAUCCCUGAGUGUCAGUGGCAGGAAGACCAGGCUGCCCAUGUCUUAGGGCAUUGUGGCCUCUGUGCUUGGUGCCAAGGGGAAGCUGGCCUCACCUCACCUUCCCGGUGAUUCGGAUGGGAAUCACUGGGGUUGCAUUGGAGGAGGAAUUUCCCAGCUCUUGUCAAAUCCUUUACUUGGCCGGGGUGACCAGGCUGGGCCCAGGGCUCUGACAUAGCUCAUUCUCUCUGGGCCCAGCCGGGAAAAUGUGAGAGCUCUGCAGAGGGAGGAGAAUGGUCCAGUUGUCAGUUGGGGUUGGGCACUGACCCUCUUUCUCUGGCAGGCGUUUGGGAGUCAGAGCUUGGAUCUCUCCUCCACCCUGCAGAGAUGGAGUGCCAAUCCAAGGAGCCGGGAACUGUGGGAGAAAAGGGCUGGUGACCCUUCCUGCCUCCCUGUCUGGUCCUUAUUCUCCUGAGACAGGCAGCGAGCGCUCUUCCGAGCUGUGCUGGCAGCCGGGCUGCAUUUGUGGGAGGUGGUGUUUAUGUGAACGCACAAAUGUUUAUGUGAGAUUGCCAGCCGGUUAUUUAUGAGCCUCUCGGCCUUCCCCCAAUAAAAGCUGUUCCUUCAAUGUCCUGACAGGCCCUGCAUCUGCAA